GCCCUUCCCAUGAGCCUGCUGCGAAGUAAGUGAAGGUUUGUCAACGGUUUCAGGACAGCAUCUGCCUUUAUUUGGAAAAAUCCUCCAGGGGCGUCUAGAAACUUAGCCAGGUUGACAUUCCAGAGUAAGUGUAUAAUCCAAGUUCCACGUCAAUGGGUGACUAUAAGAAUUAAGUGACUCAGUGGAUGCAAGUCCCUUCCAAUGCUGUCUGUCAUCCAGCCAGAGGACCACACCCUUUAUCUAUGGAAAUAUGAAGAAAACUAUCUGCAUUUCCCAGCAGGCCUUGGGAUAGUGGACACAGCCUCCUGGAUUCUGAAGUCUGAUUAUAUAAUUAAUCUGGACCUUGAGCCAUUUCAGCCCAGUUCCUUGUAAACAUGCUGACACCAUCAGAAUAUGAAUAAUUAGGAGAAUAUCUCGUUCUCACUUAUCACUAGAACUACUUGGAACAUGUAAGUGAGCUAUGACUAAUCUGUUCUUGUUGAUCAAAGCAAUAAACAAACAACCAGGGCAAA
This is a long non-coding RNA of Peromyscus leucopus (white-footed mouse), 512 nucleotides long. RefSeq lists it as uncharacterized. The record is from RefSeq and is a predicted model, not a curated record. The transcript is spliced from 2 exons. NCBI's taxonomy places the organism in Eukaryota, Metazoa, Chordata, Mammalia, Rodentia, Cricetidae.